UACGGGAGGCUUAACACAUGCAAGCCGAGGGGUAUAGUUCUUUCGGGAACUAGAGACCGGCGCACGGGUGCGUAACGCGUAUGCAACUUGUCCUACUGAAAAGGAUAGCCCUUCGAAAGGAGGAUUAAUACUUUAUAAUAGAAAUCAUGGCAUCAUGAAUUUUUGAAAGAUUUAUCGCAGUAGGAUAGGCAUGCGUAAGAUUAGUUAGUUGGUGAGGUAACGGCUCACCAAGACGAUGAUCUUUAGGGGGCCUGAGAGGGUGAACCCCCACACUGGUACUGAGACACGGACCAGACUCCUACGGGAGGCAGCAGUGAGGAAUAUUGGACAAUGGGUGGAAGCCUGAUCCAGCCAUCCCGCGUGUAGGAUGACGGCCUUAUGGGUUGUAAACUACUUUUAUCUGGGGAUAAACCUACUCACGUGUGAGUAGCUGAAGGUACCAGAAGAAUAAGCACCGGCUAACUCCGUGCCAGCAGCCGCGGUAAUACGGAGGGUGCAAGCGUUAUCCGGAUUUAUUGGGUUUAAAGGGUCCGUAGGCGGAUUAAUCAGUCAGUGGUGAAAUCUCAUAGCUUAACUAUGAAACUGCCAUUGAUACUGUUAGUCUUGAGUGAUGUUGAAGUUGCUGGAAUGUG
RNAcentral lists this ribosomal RNA (632 nucleotides) under uncultured bacterium. RNAcentral's name for it is "bacterial SSU rRNA". It matches the Rfam family "Bacterial small subunit ribosomal RNA", at positions 38 to 670 of the family's 1533-position model. The record is from RNAcentral.